AGCAUUUCCCCUGUGUGGGCGACCCCUGGGUCCCAUGUGGGGUCAGUGUUUGGGUCUCUCUGAGAGGAUCAGGAAGGCUGCUCUUCCAGGAAGGGCUGCAGGGACCCUGGGAACCGGACCAGUCCAGCUCACAAGUAUGAAGAGAAUGUCGGGAGAGGAAGUGGUGGCUAUGAGUCAGCAUGAGUCAUCUCGUUCCAAUGAGAAUGAAGGCUGAGACAAGCGGUGCCUGAGCCCGUGCCUGUCUUCAGAUCUUCACAGCACAGUUCCUGGGAAGGUGGAGCCACCAGCCUCUCCUUGAAUAACUGGGAGAUGAAACAGGAAGCUCUAUGACACACUUGAUCGAAUAUGACAGACACCGAAAAUCACGACUCAGCCCCCUCCAGCACCUCUACCUGUUGCCCGCCGAUCACAGCCGGAAUGCAGCUGAAAGAUUCCCUGGGGCCUGGUUCCAACCGCCCACUGUGGACUCUGAGGCCUCUGCAUUUGCGGGUGGUCUGCCUGUGAUAUUUUGGUCAUGGGCUGGUCUGGUCGGUUUCCCAUUUGUCUGGCCAGUCUCUAUGUGUCUUAAUCCCUUGUCCUUCAUUAAAAGCAAAA
Molecule: long non-coding RNA, 594 nt
Filed under: Homo sapiens (human)
Lineage: Eukaryota; Metazoa; Chordata; Mammalia; Primates; Hominidae
Description: cytoskeleton regulator RNA
Source: RNAcentral